GGAUAUAUUUUCUUCGCUUUCAGUUUAGUGAGCAAUUCAUGUCUGAAGUCGUUAUAUUGCACACAAUCAAAGAUUAAAUGUUGAAGACUUUCUAUGGAACCUGCAUUGCAUUUGAGGCAUAACGGAGUGAAAUAACAAUUUAUCUUAAAUAGGGUUUCAUUAACCCAAGCAUGUCCAAUUCUUAGUCUAUUUAUCGUUACUAUUUUAUUUCUACUCAGUUUGUAAUUAUUAUACCAUGGGGAGGGGCUAUCAGGGGCAAGUAGUGAUUGUUUAAUUGCGCCAACAAAAUCUUUCAAUGACACUUUAAAAUCUGUUGGUUCUUCACCUGCUUGGGUUGCCUCUUUUGCCAGCCUAUCUACAUGUUCAUUGGGACCUAUCCCCACAUGACUUACUACCCAUUGAAAAGUGAAGUAUUUAUUACCUCUCAUCAUGCAGAUUGUAAUGGCUGAUGCCAGAUUUUCUUCAUAAUCUGCUGAACUUGCUGCCUUUAUGGCUAGUAUAGCAGCUUUUGAGUCAGAACACACUACAAUGUUAUCAUAAUUUUGUUCGUUUGCUAUUUCAACAGCUUUCUUUAUGGCAUACAGUUCUGCGGAAUAGCUGGAUGCCUGGUUUGGAAGUUUAUAUUUGUAUUCUAUUGAAGUCCUGUAUAUACACGGCAGAGCCUGCGCCAUCCUUGCUUCGUGAGCCAUCAGUGUAAAUUCUUAGAUAGUUUUCAUAUUUCUUUCUCAUUAAUUCUAGAAAUAAUGCUUUAAUGGCUUCUGGUGGGAGUAAUGAUUUUUUCCCAACUGUGUCAUCAAUCUGUAGUUCAAAUGAUAUUUUUAAGUUCUUAAGCAGUAGGGGGCUAUCAACGAAUUCCAAAAGAUUUGAAUCACUUACUGCAAUAUUGUUUAGAUUCGCCAGAUUAUCUACUGUGUUCACCAGUUCCAUGUAUAGAGGUUUGGUUUUUUUGACCCAGUACUUAUGAUGAUAAGCUACUGCAUGUAAAUAUCUUAUAUUCACAUAGCAUGGGUGUUGUGGAUUACUUAGUGUUUUAAACAAUAUUUUCUCUGUUAAGAAUUCUCUCCUUAUAUGUAAGGGAGGUAAUGCUGCCUCUGCAUGCAGAGUAUUAGUUGCUAAGUGGAAGCAUCCAAGAGACAGGCUAAAGAUAAGAACUCAAAAUCCAUUCAAAUUGGGAACACCUGUAACUUAUGAGUUAAGAACACAUGAGCCAUGUCGAUUUUUCCUGACACCUAUAGUGAUGGCCUUUCUCCUUUACAUUGAGAGUUCAGGCCCUAUGGAUGACAAGGGCGAAGAUAUGAAUGGAGAUGAAGGUGAAAGAUUAAAACGGAAGAUGACCAGAAAAUGUCCAUUUGAGCACUAAACUCAAGAUUUUGUUUGCGUCAGAUGGCACUCCUAACAAAAAUACAAAUUUGUGGGCUCUGCCUUUCGCCCACUAGUUAAUACAGUAUACCACUUCACAGGCUAACUCCUACUGCUGUACUCCGGUCUUUAUUUUGAAGUGCAUAAACAUUAUGAGUUCAAUGGUGUCAUAGUUACAGUUGUUUAGGACUUGUUGCAGUAAUCUUUAAGUGCUUUAGUUCAAAAGCAUUGUGUAAUGUAUGUAUUGAAAUAAAUUAAUAUUGAUCAUUAAA
Molecule: long non-coding RNA, 1631 nt
Organism: Homalodisca vitripennis (glassy-winged sharpshooter)
Lineage: Eukaryota; Metazoa; Arthropoda; Insecta; Hemiptera; Cicadellidae
Exons: 2
Source: RefSeq, a predicted model, not a curated record